UAGACUACUGAUUCACGGAAUGUGGACAAUUGAGUUCUUAGACUUAAAACUGAUAAAAACUAAUACUUGUUGGCUUAAUAACGUUUGGAACCGUGAUUUACAAAAGUGAUUCGAGAAUAAAAAUGAAAAUUGUAAACAAUUUAAUUAAUUUGCUCCUUUAAAAAAUCUGGAUAAAGUAAUAAAAGAGUGGACUCACUGUGUAGCCGCGAGUCGAUGCAACAUGUGUGGCGACAUGUCUCGUAACAUCGUGGUAUCGCUCAUGUUGCUAGUUGCACUUAACAUUAUGUCGGUCGCCGGUCGAGAGGAAGGGAUGGACGAAUCACUCGAUCCUGAACACGAAGGCUUAGAAUAUCAUAGAGUUGAAGUUCCCCCUCAAUUAGUAAAACCCUUUGUUAAUGCAAUACGUUUCUAUGAUGGUUAUUAAAUGAGUCAAAUUAAAAUUAAAUUAAUCCACCGACUGAACCAGACUGAAUAAGAGCUCGACUAUUCCCGCGAACCGAAGUUUUAUUAAUUUAUUAUCUACAAUUUGCCAGCGACAUGUUAGUCUAGUAACUAGUUACGUUUGAAUUUAUUUUAAUUGAAAUUAUUAAAAAAAGA
Molecule: long non-coding RNA, 597 nt
Organism: Colias croceus (clouded yellow)
Lineage: Eukaryota; Metazoa; Arthropoda; Insecta; Lepidoptera; Pieridae
Exons: 3
Source: RefSeq, a predicted model, not a curated record